RNAcentral lists this ribosomal RNA (253 nucleotides) under uncultured bacterium. RNAcentral's name for it is "partial 16S ribosomal RNA". It matches the Rfam family "Bacterial small subunit ribosomal RNA", at positions 524 to 776 of the family's 1533-position model. The record is from RNAcentral.
UACUUAGGGGGCGAGCGUUGUCCGGAGUUACUGGGCGUAAAGGGCACGCAGGCGGUGCGGCGCGUUUCGCGUGACAGCGGAGGGCUUAACUCUCCGAGGAUGCGAAAGACGGCGGCACUUGAGGGCCAGAGAGGGACACGGAAUUCCGGGUGGAGUGGUGAAAUGCGUAGAGAUCCGGAGGAACACCGAAGGCGAAGGCAGUGUCCUGGCUGGUGACUGACGCUGAGGUGCGAAAGCUAGGGGAGCGAACGGG